Long non-coding RNA from Microplitis mediator, 414 nucleotides. RefSeq lists it as uncharacterized. The record is from RefSeq and is a predicted model, not a curated record. The transcript is spliced from 3 exons. NCBI's taxonomy places the organism in Eukaryota, Metazoa, Arthropoda, Insecta, Hymenoptera, Braconidae.
AAUUAUAUAUUUUUGGAGAUUAUUUGUUAUCAAUAGACUGAGGUUUAGACCAGUCACAUUUUCUUUGCAAAUCAGAGCCCGCGCUUCAAUCGAGCGGUCAAGUUCCCAGUGAUAAUUCAUCAUAAACUAAAAAUGUUUAAAAUUUCAAUAUUUUUUUUAAUCGGAUUAUUAUUCAUUUUUGAAUAUUCAUCUGCUAUCUUACCACCGUGUGCACGUGGCGGUGAACAGUGCGAUUUGAUAGGAUGUUGUGCUGGUCUGCGUUGCGACGAAAUAAUAUUAAAAUGUAUGACCAAUUUAACUUCUCACUGGAAAUAAUUAUUUAUAAAAAUAAGUGAUGAUAAUAAUGUUCUACAAUAAGAAUAAUGAAUACGCAGUUCUUUAGUUUGAGUGAAAUUGUCCCAAUAAAUAAAAAAU